Non-coding RNA from Pelodiscus sinensis (Chinese soft-shelled turtle), 82 nucleotides. The record is from the annotation of a RefSeq genome assembly. NCBI's taxonomy places the organism in Eukaryota, Metazoa, Chordata, Testudines, Trionychidae.
GCUGUGAUGGCUGAGUGGUUAAGGUGUUAGACUUGCAAUCCAAUAGCGUUUCCCUGCGCAGAUUCAAAUCCUGCUCACAACG